GGAGGGCGCGGCGGUCGCUG
This 20-nucleotide small RNA is filed under the name Arabidopsis thaliana (thale cress). RNAcentral describes it as "Ath_wt_20728". Lineage: Eukaryota; Viridiplantae; Streptophyta; Magnoliopsida; Brassicales; Brassicaceae. The record is from RNAcentral.